CCCAACCGCUCUUAUCAUCUCAACCAUUUUUGUUAUGAUUGAAGCCAGGCAGGAGGCAGUUUUGAUGAUAACGUCCCCACGCCCCCCUUUUCGUCCUCCCCUCAACCGCCUCUCUCCGCUGCUACCCCCUCGUUGUCAAGCCCAUGAGGUGAUGCAGAGCCGCACGGUCUCUGCCACCGAUGACAAGACGGGGCGGUGUAACUGCUCUCCGCCGCUCCGCCGCAUCUGAACCCCUGCUACGAGCGCCGGGUUUCGCGGGAAGAAGAAGUACCAGGCCCACGAUCCCCGGAAUCAGUUCGAGGUUCGCGACAAUGUCCAGCUCCAGAAGGUGCCGCCACAUCACGAAGACAGAAGACCGUCGUCGUCCCAGGAUGUUUCCAAGGCUGUCGACGCUGUAGGACGGAGUGGAAGAUUAAUGGAUGAUAUAUGUCAUCAAACUCUCUCAAAAUUUUGCAAUGAUAUGGAUGGUAGCGAAUGAUGAGGCUCGCUCCUCACAAUGAUGCUGUUGAUGGUAAGGAAGGAUGAAGUCCUUUUCUCAUAGGAAUAAUGAUAGAGGUAUUAUAACAUGGUCGACACCUUGGUAGCGAAUGAUGAAGCUUUGUCCUCACAAUGAUGCUGUUGAUGGUACACAGCCUUCAGUUGAGGGGCCGAUCUAAGUCUCAAGGAGGCAGUGUCCUUUAGCCUGCAGGUCUCACUUCCAUCGAUGGCAGAUGCCUUGACCAUAUACCGAGGAAGAAGAGGACCACUCAAUGCAUGCUUCUUCAGCCAGCUCAGCUCCAUCUUCCUUCUUCCCUGAUCCCAAAGAAGGUCUUCCUAUUUGAUUGUUCUUAUUUCCUUAACUAAUAAGGAUAUAUAUUUGAAAUUAUU
Musa acuminata subsp. malaccensis (wild Malaysian banana) is the source of this 867-nucleotide long non-coding RNA. RefSeq lists it as uncharacterized. NCBI's taxonomy places the organism in Eukaryota, Viridiplantae, Streptophyta, Magnoliopsida, Zingiberales, Musaceae. The record is from RefSeq and is a predicted model, not a curated record.